UGUCUAAAGAAGAAAAAAAAGUUUAAAGAGUUGACAAGUCUAUGUAACGCUGUCACUGAAGCUGCUUUAAAGUCAAAUAAAAAUUUAACCAAAAUGGAUGCUAUCCAUCUUAUUGGGAGAGUAGUUAGGCAUUCUUCUGACCGAAUAAAGAAAACAUCGACUAAUAUGGAUUUCGAUCAUGUUGGCUUAA
This is a non-coding RNA of Hydra vulgaris (swiftwater hydra), 190 nucleotides long. Lineage: Eukaryota; Metazoa; Cnidaria; Hydrozoa; Anthoathecata; Hydridae. The record is from RefSeq and is a predicted model, not a curated record.